Pongo pygmaeus (Bornean orangutan) is the source of this 2249-nucleotide long non-coding RNA. RefSeq lists it as uncharacterized. NCBI's taxonomy places the organism in Eukaryota, Metazoa, Chordata, Mammalia, Primates, Hominidae. The record is from RefSeq and is a predicted model, not a curated record. The transcript is spliced from 2 exons.
GAGGACGUCCUGGGCUGGGCACCUUUGGGGAGCCCUUUCCAGGUGUGGGGGGCAACGGUGUGGGGGAGAGCCUCCCCCUGCCACCCUUCUUCCCCCAUGCGCCCUCGUGGGUGGUCGCUGUGAGCUGGAGGGAGACAGUGAGGAGCCUGGAGGCUGGUUUUUUUGUUUUGUUUUGUUUGUUUGUUUUUGAGACAGAGUCUCACUCUGAUGCCCAGGCUGCAGUGCAGUGGUGCGAUCUUGCGGCCUUCACCUGCUGGGCUCAAGUGAUCCUUCCACCUCAGUUUCCCCAUGGCCCAGCUGGGACCACAGGUGUGAGUGACCACGCCUGGCUAAUUUUUAAUUUUUUUUUUUUCGUAGAGAUGGAGUCUCAUUAUGUUGCCCAGGCUGGUCUUGAACUGCUGUGCCCAAGUGAUCCGCCCACCCCAGACUCCCAAAGUGCUGGGACUACAGGCAUGAGCUUUCGCGCCCAGCCUGAGCCCUGAAGGCUCUUGGCGGGUGGAGCAGCCACUCCAAAGCCUUACUGGAAGGUAUUUUACUAUGGGAAACUGAGCACAGGCGGAAGCAGGGCCUGGGCUAGGCUCCCUCCGCCCCCGAGUGUGAUCGACGCUCCCUGCUUUCUGCUCUAGUGGCCUGUCUCCCCUGCGGCUUCGAGAGAGAACCCACCCCUCACGUCAUUCCCUGGCGAAGGCUGUUACGAAUCUCUACAAAGUAAAGCCUUUGGAGGGCAUGGUCCAGCACCACUGCUGCCCCACUCAAACUGGCGCAAAGCCCCUGUUAGGAUUCUCGGUUUUUCCCAACGGACUAAGCUACUCCCUUUUCCAGGGGUUUGUUUCCGCAUGGCCUUGGGUUGAUUCCCGCUGUCCACCCUCAUUCCCCCACUUUGAGGGCACAGCCUGGGGAUUGUGCCGGUCCAGCCGGCAGAGCCCCAACCUGGGGAAGCCCACUCGCCCCAGGAGGCUUCCAUCACCAGCGUCCGCCCCCACACCCCCAAAACCGGCUGUGUCUGCCCAAGCUGCCACGGCCAUCCCAGAAUCACACGUGGAUGGCUUCAUUUCCCACCGGGGCCUGGGGGCCAAGGACGCCUAACUCCUGGAGCGGAGAUGGGUUGAGGCCAGAGAGCCCACCUAGGCUGACGGCUCUGGAAACAACACUCAUGCUGAGCUGUGGGGACCAAGGGGGUGCCGGGAGAGAACGUGACGCCGGAAACGGAAACGUCCGUGCAGACCAAGGGGGUGCCAGUAGAGAACGCUGACUCCGGAAACGGCCGUGCAGACCAACGGGGUGCCGGGAGAGAACGCUGACACCGGAAACGGAAACGUCCGUGCAGACCAAGGGGGUGCCAGGAGAGAACGCUGACUCCGGAAACGGCCGUGCAGACCAAGGGGGUGCCGGGAGAGAACGCUGACACCGGAAACGGAAACGUCCGUGCGGACCAAGGGGGUGCCAGGAGAGAACGCUGACUCCGGAAACGGCCGUGCAGACCAACGGGGUGCCGGGAGAGAACGCUGACACCGGAAACGUCCAGGCUGUCUGGGGAGGUGAGCUGCUUCACAGGAAGGGUCCCGCAGUGGCCAUGACCCCAGUGGCCAUGUGGCUGAGGCCCUGGGCAGUGGCUUCGUGACUGAAAGGCCCUGAACCCACCCCGAGGCCCCACAGCUUUUUCUCCACCUCAGAGACUUUCUGGGGCUCAGUCUUGCUGCGGCCCUUGUGGCAUUUGGCAAGCAGUGGGUGGACCAUGAGUGAGUUAGGAGGCCGAACUGCCCACCUCUGCAAUGGAUUCCCAGGAGAGCAAACACGGGACCCGCUCCUACAGGCCUCAGCCGCCCUCUGGAAUGAGGUGAGAAGACCCUCCGUCACAGGCUGCCCUGAAGAAGGGUGCAGGAGCCCCACACAGCCUGGACCCCAGGGAGCAGAGUCGGAAUCCAGACAGCAGGAGAGGAGGGCUCCACACACUAGAUUUAUGUCUACAGCUUCAACACUGGCUCAGCCUGGGGCUUAUGGUGGAGCAGGAGACUGGGGAUGGAGGACCAGCACCAGCAGAGAAAAUGGAGGACAGGGCAGGCCACUUGGCCCCAAGAGACACACAGCAGCUGGAGCAGGUUUACAAACUAGAUCUGGGUGACACAACCAUCCUUUUUAAAGGUUUUAACGGAAUCACAGUGACAUUUUGAUCCCAUUUAUGAACCGGGAAGCCAGGCUCACCAGCCCACUGCACCAUUUAAUGUCAGCAAAUAAAAUUCAGUCAAUAA